CCUGGGUGACGGAGCAAGACCAUCUUAAAAAAAAAAAAAAAAGAUAGAACAGGAGACUGGCCAAGACUCAGUGAGGAUCUGUUUGUCUCAUUUCCAAAGGUGUCCUGGAGAACCAACGUUAGUGCAGUCAAUAGUGGUCAGUGUGGAGUCGCAAAACACAAACUCCAGCUGUUGGAAGCCUGGCCUCUAGAAGGGGUCCACUUCCUCCAAAGGCACCUGCUUCAAAUGUCCCCCCUGCUAAACCAGAAUCAUUGCUGUUAGGAUGACCGUUCUAUUUCAGAAGGAACUAGAGGACUCUGCAGAGAUGGUGGCGGAGGCGAGAUCUAUGUCUGGAAGGGCCAUGUAUAAAAAACAGGGACCUGCCGUGUUUCUGCUCCUUACCACUUCUGAGUUGUCCGAUUUUACAGAAGAGGACUUGAAAGAUGUAAGACAUGGCCAAUAACUCAUCAUCUGCCUCUGCUCCAAAACCACAUUCUACUAAAAAAAGGAAAAUCUACCCUGGAGGUCAAUUUGCCAUGACAAAGUUGCUCUGUAAGAAACUCCCAGGACGCAUGCUCAGACUCAGGGGCCUGUGCAGGGAUGGGCCAGCCUGAAGCAGACGGGCUGCAGCCCCGCAGGGUCCCUUCUUCAGCAAGGAGGACAGCGUGACAGCUGGGUCGUCUUCGCAGGACUGAAUGUGCCCUGUUGCAGAUCAUGAGAACUGAAUGGUUCUGAGGGUGAGGAUCAAGAGCCAGCCCAUGAACCCCUGAUUCGGCGCGUGAAGCUUGUACUCUGGCAGAACGUCCAGCCUGGCGUCUGAGGCAGCACUUAUCUGGAGCCUCUUGUAUGAGGAGGAUCUCAAAAGAACCAGGGGGGAGCCCUGGGAGAGGAACCUGGGGCCAGCUGUGGACACAGACAUGGAUUCGAGACGGUGUCAGGCCAGCCUAAGAAAUAGCAGGAAACCUGGCAUGGCGUAGGGUGGGGCUCUAGGUGCCUGAUGCAAGUGGGAUGGAGGGAGUGCAUCGUGGUGACUGCAGAGUCCUCAAAGCCACUGUUACCCUCACCUCCACCUCCUGUCAGCUUGUGACCUUGGUAGCACAGAGAAGUGCAUGUUUCUUGACAACCCAGUCUAGUCAUACGGCAAAAUAAAUGAAAAAACAGAACCCAUGUCCAAUUCUGGAGGCUGGGAAGUCCAUGAUUAAGUGCUGGCAGAUUCAGUGUCUGGUGAGGGCUGCUUCCUGGUUCGUAGACGUGCCUUCUUGCUGAGAUCUCAGAUGGUGGGCGGGGCUUGGCAGCUCUGGAGCCUCUUAUAAGGGCACUAAUCCCAUUCAUAAAGGCAUCAUCCUCAUGACCUGAUCACCUCUCAAAAAUCCCACCUCCUAACACUAUCACCUCUGAGGUUAUGGAUUUUGUUGGAGACAGAAACAUUCAGACCAUAGUGGUACUCGAUAAAAUGUUUAUUAAUAUGUAUUAAUUCUGGGAGUCAAGCAAACCUAAUGAAUUGAUCACUGGGAUUUUGGCACCACAAUCAGAUAAACAAUCUAAAAAUA
Molecule: non-coding RNA, 1529 nt
Organism: Macaca mulatta (Rhesus monkey)
Lineage: Eukaryota; Metazoa; Chordata; Mammalia; Primates; Cercopithecidae
Source: RefSeq, a predicted model, not a curated record